UACGAAGGGGGCUAGCGUUGUUCGGAAUCACUGGGCGUAAAGCGCACGUAGGCGGAUCUUUAAGUCAGGGGUGAAAUCCCGAGGCUCAACCUCGGAACUGCCUUUGAUACUGGGGAUCUCGAGACCGGGAGAGGUGAGUGGAACUGCGAGUGUAGAGGUGAAAUUCGUAGAUAUUCGCAAGAACACCAGUGGCGAAGGCGGCUCACUGGCCCGGAACUGACGCUGAGGUGCGAAAGCGUGGGGAGCAAACAGG
Molecule: ribosomal RNA, 253 nt
Filed under: uncultured bacterium
Lineage: Bacteria
Description: partial 16S ribosomal RNA
Rfam family: Bacterial small subunit ribosomal RNA
Source: RNAcentral